AAAAAUUUGAAGCAUUUGGACUUGAGUUAUUCUGCUAUCAACAAUAGCUUUGGUCUACAAGACAUUGGAAUGAUGAGGCAUCUCAAAACUUUAUUAUUAGCUGGUUGUGGACUUACUGGACCCAUACCUACUGAUCAAGGUCUUUGAAAAUUGAAGUUUCUGCAAGAGCUAGAUAUAAGUGACAAUUAUCUCAAUGGUAGUUUGCCAUGGUGUCUAGCAAAUUUGACAUCCCUCAAAAGAUUCUCUCUC
RNA transcript from Jatropha curcas, 249 nucleotides. RefSeq lists it as uncharacterized. The record is from RefSeq and is a predicted model, not a curated record. NCBI's taxonomy places the organism in Eukaryota, Viridiplantae, Streptophyta, Magnoliopsida, Malpighiales, Euphorbiaceae.